UCUGACUUCUAUAGAGUAUUGUGCCCUCUCUCCCUCAGAUCUUUUCGAUGUUUACCAUAUAUGGAUACACAUGGCACAUAAGAUUUUUAAUUUAUGCAUUAAGGUUUGAUUCUCUCUUUUCUUCUUCUUCUAUAGAAUAAGCACGACUACAAAGUCAAUAAAAAAUCGGUACUUUCUUUUCCGAGACGGGCGAGUAAUAUUGGGAGUAAAAACGAAGUGAUUUUUUCACUACAUAAACGAGGUAAAAAAGUUUUGAGUUUUAAAUUUGUAGUUGAAUCAAUCAGUUAUACUUCUUCGUAAUAGAAGGGCGUUUACUAGAGUUCUCGACCAAAUAAGCACGACAUGUCUCCUUUGGGACAUUGACAGUAUAAGAAGUCAUAAAAUGGAGAAGGUGAUAUUUUUGCAUUUUAGAAAAACUUUUUUUUCAAUGCUAUCAGUACGUCUACGGCUUGGCCUUCCUUCAGAUGUCAAUCUGUGAAGGUUAAACUCGUAUGUUGCAGAAGAUCACUCACCUUGGUUGCACCACAUUUUUAUGGAAGAAAGACAUUUGCUAUCUGUUUGAUCUUGAUUUUUUUGGUCAAUGGUUCAGCUCUAUGACUUUUUGUAAAGGCCUUUAUUUAUAGGCAAAUUGGUUAUGUGGCUGUAGGAAGGUAGCCCGGGGCUUCAGGUGCAUAGGUUUAGUUCUCUAUGGCUGAAUGUAAUUAUACCAAACCAAACUCUUUGCUCUAA
Long non-coding RNA from Camelina sativa (false flax), 729 nucleotides. RefSeq lists it as uncharacterized. The record is from RefSeq and is a predicted model, not a curated record. Lineage: Eukaryota; Viridiplantae; Streptophyta; Magnoliopsida; Brassicales; Brassicaceae.